This is a long non-coding RNA of Macadamia integrifolia, 2341 nucleotides long. RefSeq lists it as uncharacterized. NCBI's taxonomy places the organism in Eukaryota, Viridiplantae, Streptophyta, Magnoliopsida, Proteales, Proteaceae. The transcript is spliced from 2 exons. The record is from RefSeq and is a predicted model, not a curated record.
UCUGUGACCGACUCCUAGCCGAUUUGAAUCUGAAUCGACAGGAACCGACUCUCUAACCGAUUUCUGUUUUAAACCCUACCGGAUUCCCGCCGAAAACCUGCACUGAUCAUCGAAGUUCUUUCUCCGUCUCCCUUUCCCAUUCCCUCUCCCCUUCUGUUAGUUUCUCUUUCUCGUUGUAUCUGUGCAGAUUCUGGUGAAAUCGUGGGGUUAUAGGCCAUGCUUUCUGGCCGUCUCUCCUCUUUGAGAGAAGGAGUUUUGUUGCGUGUUUCUAACGCGAAAGCUCUCUCUCUUCCUCUUUUCAAGGAGAAAAAGGGUAGGGGUCAUGAUUUGGGAACUAUCUCAUCUGGCUAGCAAAUGGGUUUUGUUAGGGGUUCCUCAUGGGCUAUGAUUUAUGCCAGUUCGUUGUUGUAAUGAGGAGUCCAUUGACUUCAAUGGCUCUCCAUCACCCUGGACUGUAAUCUUAUGCAAUAGUAACAAUAUUUCAGGAGUUGUCUUUCACAACUCGAGUCUCUCGGUUGAUGAAGACUUAGUGUUUCUUCUAGCCUUACGAUUAUUGUUGCCUAGGAGUUAGUUUUCCCAGUAAAAUGGGUGAAUUCAAAUAGCGUUGAGUUUAUUAAUGAGAUUUGGUUUGUGAGGUAAUAAUGGCUUGAUCUAUCGAUCUACCUUUUUCUUUCCAUUUGUUUCUUAUUCUGUACGGGUAAAUAUUAUUUUUUAAGUUUGAUUUUCACUGGAUUGAUCGGCAGAUCAUUUUCCUUUAUGGGUUCUGCUAAAGAAGGCAAAAGAAAUGAAUCUUUUAUUGUUUUUUAUUGUAUUUAGGAGAAUGGAUUUGGAACGAUUGAUUUUUUCCUUUCCUUGUUCUUCUUAGAAGAAGCUCAUGUAGGUUUUCCGUUUUGUUGGGUAUUUACCUAGAUUUGAUGCUUUGGGGAAUUCUUUUAGCUGUUUGAUUGGUUAUGAUUUCUGCUUCUUGGAUUACUUCUUUCUCGUAGGAAAGGUUUUAAUUUUAUGGAAUUGUGUAAUUGACUAGUUGUGUCUGUUUUCUGUACUAAUUCUUAUUCUGCUCUUAUCAUUUUCUUUGGGGGAAAUGAGUUGAGUUAUAGUCUUUGGAGAGGAAAGAUGUUAAUCUGAUGGGUCAGCAAACCUCUACAUUUUGAGUUUAUCUUUUGGGUUCAAAUUCUUUUAUUAUUUUAGAUUAUUUUUCUUCAAUAAAAAACACUCAAAAUUUGAAAAACUCAAUGGCCUUGGAUGUUUUUUUUUCUCACUUAUGUGUUCCUUUGUACAGCUCGAAGGAGAGAACCACUCUAGGAUGGAUCAUGGAAAGGGGAUUGAAGCAGGUCUGAAGGGUGAUACAAAGGGUCUGAGAGAGUUUUAUUGUUGGACUGAUGAGAGGAUAAAAUUACUAAUCGAUAUUGGUCGUGAUUAUUCGCGCAAAGGGUACAAGCUGAAUGCAUCUUUUACAGAAGAUGGUUGGGCCUGCAUGUUGAAAGAAUAUAACCAAAAAUGCGAGAAGCUAGUAACCAUGUUACAACUCAAGAAUAGAUUGAACAUCCUUAACGCUGUUGUUGCUGAUGGGGAAGCUACAGUUUGCACCAAUGAAGAUGACCCACCUGGCCACCUCCAACCACACCAAAGGGGGUAUCUGAUUCGAACAGUGCUGUAAACUCAGAAAACUCGGAUUCUGAUGAUUCAAAUAAUGAUGAUUUGCCGAUUGAGGUGUUAGAUAUGAAGAAGGAAAAGAAAAGAAAGAGGAGGAGUUCUAUGGAGUCAUCUCAGAGGUCAAAUAGUAGUGACAAUCCCAAUAUAGGAGAAGCUAUCAACAGACUGAUUGCUCUAGAAGAGCGAAAAACAGAAGAUAUGAGGGCUUUGUUAGGGAUGAAAAAAGCAGCUAUAAGUGGAGCAAUUAUAGACACCACAUUUGACAUGGCUUAUCAAAUUCUUAACUCUUUGGACGAGAUUCAGCCUGGUAGUACCAACCAUGUGAUGGCUUUGGAGGUGCUCGAGGAUCGAAACAAAAGACAAGCAUUCAUUUUGAUGCAUGAAUUGUCUUGUGUACCAUGGCUUCUUAGAGCAAUUGAGAGGAAAGCAAGAGAGGAGUCUGGAGUCUGGACCCUCUAUUCGAUUUGCAUGACAAAUACUUCAACUUCUGCGUUUGUGUGGUUUCAAAUAUUUUGUAGUUUCUUUCUUGCAAGACUUAAAAAUGUGUGUGGAUGUUUUUCAUUUCAUAUUUGUAUAGUUUGACCUACAUGUGAAUGUAUUUUGAAAGUAUAUGUAGUUGUUUCUGUUAAACUAUGUGUGUGGAUGUUAAUAUUCAUUUUGAAUUUUGAAAGUCAAAUUUAUGUGUUUU